UACGAAGGGGGCUAGCGUUGCUCGGAAUUACUGGGCGUAAAGCGCACGUAGGCGGCUUCUUAAGUCGGUGGUGAAAUCCUGGAGCUCAACUCCAGAACUGCCUUCGAUACUGGGAAGCUCGAGUCCGGGAGAGGUGAGUGGAACUGCGAGUGUAGAGGUGAAAUUCGUAGAUAUUCGCAAGAACACCAGUGGCGAAGGCGGCUCACUGGCCCGGUACUGACGCUGAGGUGCGAAAGCUGGGGGAGCGAACGGG
RNAcentral lists this ribosomal RNA (253 nucleotides) under uncultured bacterium. Its description in RNAcentral is "partial 16S ribosomal RNA". It matches the Rfam family "Bacterial small subunit ribosomal RNA", at positions 524 to 776 of the family's 1533-position model. The record is from RNAcentral.